RNAcentral lists this ribosomal RNA (460 nucleotides) under uncultured bacterium. Its description in RNAcentral is "partial 16S ribosomal RNA". It matches the Rfam family "Bacterial small subunit ribosomal RNA", at positions 338 to 795 of the family's 1533-position model. The record is from RNAcentral.
CCUACGGGUGGCAGCAGUGAGGAAUAUUGGUCAAUGGGCGCGAGCCUGAACCAGCCAAGUAGCGUGCAGGAUGACUGCCCUACGGGUUGUAAACUUCUUUUAUAAAGGAAUAAAGUGAGGCACGUGUGCCUUUUUGUAUGUACUUUAUGAAUAAGGAUCGGCUAAUGCCGUGCCAGCAGCCGCGGGAAUACGGAGGAUCCGAGCGUUAUCCGGAUUUAUUGGGUUUAAAGGGAGCGUAGAGGGGUUGUUAAGACAGUUGGGAAAGUUUGGGGCUCAACCGUAAAAUUGCAAUUGAUACUGGCAGUUUUGAGGACAGUUGAGGUAGGCGGAAUUCGUGGUGUAGCGGUGAAAUGCUUAGAUAUCACGAAGAACUCCGAUUGCGAAGGCAGCUUACUAAACUGCCACUGACAUUGAUGCUCGAAAGUGUGGGUAUCAAACAGGAUUAGAUACCCCGGUAGUC